AUGAAGCAAUAUACAGGAUAUCAGCGAUAGAACAUGUGAAUCAGGGAACGUGGGAACCUGGCAGCAGAUACAAGAGCACCAAAGAUCAUGAAGUCAACCUACAUCCAUCUGGACAACCUGAGAGACUGGAGACCAACAACCAACAGACAUAUGAUAUUGAGUACCCCUGAUGUAGAUGCUAAUAAAUGACGUGUAAAGAGAGAGCAGCCGCCAAAUAAACCAAGAAAAAAAGCAAUGAA
Molecule: long non-coding RNA, 239 nt
Organism: Bufo bufo (common toad)
Lineage: Eukaryota; Metazoa; Chordata; Amphibia; Anura; Bufonidae
Exons: 3
Source: RefSeq, a predicted model, not a curated record